Molecule: ribosomal RNA, 107 nt
Filed under: Meriones unguiculatus (Mongolian gerbil)
Lineage: Eukaryota; Metazoa; Chordata; Mammalia; Rodentia; Muridae
Source: RNAcentral
AUCUAUGGCCAUACCACCUUUAAUGUGCAUGAUCUCAGAAGCUAAGCUAGAGCGGACCUGGUUAGUAAUCGGAUGGGAAUCCCAGAGUUUACACUUGUCAGUUGAAU